UUGAGAUACAACAUGGCAAGUUGUUGCUGGCCUUCACCAUAGGCAAUUGUGCACGCUUGUUAUUUCUCAUUUUCACAUCCUUUGUGCAUCUUCUGUAGAUUUGGUUUAGGACUCCUUAGCAGGAGUUUGGUUUCUCUUGCAGGCUUUCCUUGUUAUUUCAGAUCUAUGUCUCAUUUUGUAUACCCCAGUAUAUAUGAAGGCAAAUUGAAUGGCACAUCUGUGUCUUUAAUAACACAUAUA
RNAcentral lists this unclassified non-coding RNA (240 nucleotides) under uncultured Inocybaceae. RNAcentral's name for it is "sequence contains ITS1". The record is from RNAcentral. Lineage: Eukaryota; Fungi; Basidiomycota; Agaricomycetes; Agaricales.